Molecule: ribosomal RNA, 449 nt
Filed under: uncultured bacterium
Lineage: Bacteria
Description: bacterial SSU rRNA
Rfam family: Bacterial small subunit ribosomal RNA
Source: RNAcentral
CAUACAUGCAAGUCGAACGAGAAGCUGACUUCGGUCAGUAGAAAGUGGCGACGGGGUGAGUAAUGUGUAGAGAAUCUGCCCUAGAGUGGGGGACAACAGUUGGAAACGACUGCUAAUACCGCAUAUGAGCGUACCUGAAAUGGUAUUCUUGAAAAACUCCGGUGCUCUGGGAUGAGUCUGCAUCUGAUUAGCUAGUUGGCGGUGUAAUGGACCACCAAGGCGACGAUCAGUAGCUGGUUUGAGAGGAUGAUCAGCCACAAUGGGACUGAGACACGGCCCAUACUCCUACGGGAGGCAGCAGUAGGGAAUUUUGCGCAAUGGGGGAAACCCUGACGCCAGCAACGCCGCGUGAUUGAAUAAGCCCUUCGGGGUGUAAAGAUCUGUCAGUAGGGACGAAACUUGACGGUACCUACAGAGGAAGCAUCGGCUAACUCCGUGCCAGCCGCAGC